This is a long non-coding RNA of Passer montanus (Eurasian tree sparrow), 2700 nucleotides long. RefSeq lists it as uncharacterized. The transcript is spliced from 3 exons. NCBI's taxonomy places the organism in Eukaryota, Metazoa, Chordata, Aves, Passeriformes, Passeridae. The record is from RefSeq and is a predicted model, not a curated record.
UUUUUUGGGGGGGCUGAUGGGCACAUUGGGGUGGGUGAGGGGGGAAAAUCCGGCCCUGAAUCCCUGAUGAACACUCCUGGUCAUCCCAAACCAUCUAUUUUUCCUACAGGAGGUUGCUUUUGAGGUUUUUUGAGAAAGCAGCUUUUCACCAAAGCAGAACUGAGCUCUUUCCACAAUAUCCAAGGGCUUCUUCAUCAGGGAGAGGCAGCACAAGACACAGCCCAGUAUGGAAAAGCUGUUUGCUCCCCAAAAUGAGGCUCAAGAAGCCAAAUGAGAUGCUUGAAAACCAGGGAGUGCUGUGGCUGGGACCCCAUUCCCACCAGACUUGAUUUUUCCCCUGCAACCUCCAGUUUGGGAGUUAAAAGAUUAAUAUAUAAAAUCUAGCUAAGAUAUUGAACAAUGUUAGUCGUGCCCCAGGUGCUGUAGCAAAGGAUGGUGCUUGAGCCAGGGAAAAAAGGCAGGAAAAUCCCUUUAGGGCAAAUAUAGGGAGCUGGAGGGGUUGUGGCAUGGAUUCCCUGUGUUGAUGCCUGUCCCUGAAUGAGGAGGGAGCUGGGGAACACAGAGCUGAUGGGUUUGGGGCUAUCCUGAGUGUAUUUACUCCUGCAGAAAUCCUGUCUCCAGCACCUGGGCUUCCCCUUCCCUCUGAGCAUCAGGGCUUGCUGCUUUUCCCAGUGCAUGCUUUAGGGGAGGUGUGAGAGUUCAGUCCAUUUCAACCACCAUGGAGAGGCUGUGUUUGCACAGAAAGUGUGCAGGGUGAGUGCAUCACUAAUUAAAAAUGUUCUCUUGAACGAGAUAAAAAAAAUCACUGGGGUGGAAAGUGCUUGGCUGUUCCUCCUGCAGGAAAAGGUGCAGCCUGGAUUUUGGUGAUGCAGGGUUGGGUACCAUCCAUCACCAGGACCCUCCCCACCCCGGGGUGUCACUGGGGAAGCUGAGGAACACCUCUGGGCUUGUUUUUCCUAAGAAACUCUUGAGUUUCCCACAAAUGCAACGAGCCAGCAUGAAGCAGACAAAUCCCUGCCAAUGUGUGGAGAGCCAGAGCUGGGCUCCUGAAGGGUGUGGGGCUGAAAUGACCCCAGCACCAACCCUGGAUGAGGACAGCCAGAGGUAGGGAAGCACCUUCCUGAGCACCCAGAGGGGACUUUGGGGAGAAUUUGAAUUUCCCUGCGUUUUUGCUGUUGAUUUUUAGAGCACUCAGCACCUCUUGUCUCUUUUCCAUCCCUUCCCUCCCAAUUCCCCCCAGAGGAGCAGUAUGACAGUGAAGCCUGGUGUCAGCCCCUGGCUGAGCCAUGGCAUCCUCGGGGACAGAGCAGCCCUGGGGCUGAGGGCAGGGGAUUGAUGGAGUUCACAGCAGCACAAUCCAUCACUGGGUCACCACAGCGGGCUGAGGCAGCUUCCAAAUUCCUGCGCAGCCAAAUCCUGCCUGGGACUGCCAGGAAAGCCGGCCAGCAGCAAGUACGUGCCGUUUGUGUACCCAGAGCACAGCCAGGGUCGCUGCUGUCCUGCGGCUGAUGAUGAUGAUGAUGGAGCUCCAGCCCUCCCCAGGAUGUGACCCCAGCCCUUCCUGGGACCCCCUGCCCUGGGUGCUGCCCGGGUGUCACCUCUCCAUCAUCACCACCUUUUUAUGCACCAAAACACCCCAGAUUCCCUAAACUUUACUGCCCUGCCCAUAACCUCCCACCCAGCCGUGGAAGGAGCCAAGCUGGCUUUGUGCACUCCCGAUGGGAUUUACGAUCCCAGGGAUUUCCUGAGCUGCCUGUCAUCACCCUCCCCCCUUUCCCACCACCAACAAACCACACCCGUUUGUUUCGGGGCGCUCCUUGCACGUUUCUUGCUGUAUUUUUGUUUCUGCCUGCCUCAGGAGGGUUUCAGGGGACAGCGGCAGAGCAGUGAAGCGGCACCGAGGUCACAGUGAAGGUCACACCUUUGUCUCCAUGGGGAAUGUCAGUGGCUGGGGAAAGGAGGAUUGGGAAAACCCUGCAUCCCGAGGCGCUCAGGCGCUUGGGGAUUCCAUGGGAGCCACCCCAGCGUGACCCCAAAGCAGCCCUGGGAGAGCUGAGAGCAGGGCACGGAGGGGCUGCACCCUCAGCAUCCUCCCGGGGAUGCGGAGCCGGCUCUGGCCAAGCCCACCCAUGGGACGCCUGAUCUGCUCUUUCCACUGGUGACUCAUGGAAAAACCACUUGUUUUGCAGCAGCACUCGGCAUGUCGGGUGAUCCUGCCUCCCUGCCUUGCUUGUCUGUCUUUUCUUUAAAGGAUCAUUGGUAUGGAAACCUCCGGGAUCCCGACAUUCCCGCGGAGCUCGCUCACCUGAAGGCAUUUUCCCUGGAUGUGUGCAGGGCUGGCUGUGCAAGCCACGCUCCAUCAGCUGCCUGGGAGGCAGCCUGGUCACGCUCCCAGCGCUGAAUUUUUUGGGGAUUAGUAUUUUUGAGUGGCUCUUAUACAACGGCGUUGGAAGCUUGGAGGGUUUCCACCGGCUCCUCGCGCGUUGGUCUCCACACUCCUGCCAGCACCGCCGGCUGCACGGGGCCCCCCAAAUCUUUCCACAAGGCCCCAGUUUCUCCCCUGUCGAGGCAAACGCUUUGGCUAAUUAGCAAAACGUGUCAAAGAAAAUGAUUAAUGUCCCGGGAGGAGGCUGGGCUGCCUUUGUGCCGGCAUUGCCUGACUUCUGCUCUUAAAGGUUUUAUUAAAAGAUAAGGCAGCUC